AGUGCCUACUAUAUCCCAAAUUUGGAUCAAUAAAGAGCAGAUUAGCGUAGCCCCUCCAUAAGGUUGACACAAAAUACAUGAAGCAUUCCAUAUUUUU
Cavia porcellus (domestic guinea pig) is the source of this 97-nucleotide small nuclear RNA. Lineage: Eukaryota; Metazoa; Chordata; Mammalia; Rodentia; Caviidae. The record is from Ensembl.